Molecule: ribosomal RNA, 483 nt
Filed under: uncultured bacterium
Lineage: Bacteria
Description: partial 16S ribosomal RNA
Rfam family: Bacterial small subunit ribosomal RNA
Source: RNAcentral
GACGAACGCUGGCGGCGUGCUUAACACAUGCAAGUCGAACGAUGAAGCCGGAGCUUGCUCCGGUGGAUUAGUGGCGAACGGGUGAGUAACACGUGAGCAAUCUGCCCUUGACUCUGGGAUAACUGCGGGAAACUGUAGCUAAUACCGGAUACGACACCUUGGGGCAUCCCAGGGUGUGGAAAGAAUUUCGGUCAAGGAUGAGCUCGCGGCCUAUCAGCUAGUUGGUGAGGUAAUGGCUCACCAAGGCGACGACGGGUAGCCGGCCUGAGAGGGUGACCGGCCACACUGGAACUGAGACACGGUCCAGACUCCUACGUGAGGCAGCAGUGGGGAAUGUUGCACAAUGGGCGCAAGCCUGAUGCAGCAACGCCGCGUGAGGGAUGACGGCCUUCGGGUUGUAAACCUCUUUUAGCAGGGAAGAAGCGAAAGUGACGGUACCUGCAGAAAAAGCACCGGCUAACUACGUGCCAGCCGCCGCCGUAA